GGGGAUAUAGCUCAGUGGUACAGUGCCUGCCUGGCAAGUACGAGGUCCUGAGUUUGAUUCCCAGUACCAACA
Cavia porcellus (domestic guinea pig) is the source of this 72-nucleotide transfer RNA. It matches the Rfam family "tRNA". From Rfam's summary of the family: Transfer RNA (tRNA) molecules are approximately 80 nucleotides in length. Their secondary structure includes four short double-helical elements and three loops (D, anti-codon, and T loops). Lineage: Eukaryota; Metazoa; Chordata; Mammalia; Rodentia; Caviidae. The record is from Rfam.